CUAAUUUGGGAUUUUUUUGGAACACGUGCAGGUACCAGUAGUGCGUUUCAGUUCCCCGAGGAAAAUUCAGGGAAAAUUAGGGAUAGCCUGCAAGCGCACUGCAAAGCCGUGUUCGGACCCCGAAAACGAGUAAGGACCCCUCACCCUAUUUCCUAUCACGGUAUUAAAGUUCAAAAUGAUAAAAUGGUAUUUCUUGAAUUAACGAAUGUGUAAAAUUGCUUAAGGUUGCUAAUGGAGCCCGAGUCUAGUGUGAUUGAUGAUUUACUGUUAUUUGGCCUGUUUUACAGCUUUAAAUCCAGUAUGAGGUUUGAUGUGUUUAUUUUAUAGUUUCGUGUGCAUAUAUUACGUUUUUAUUGGUUAUGGGUUGAAUAACUGAAAAAAACUGAUACCGUAUGUUGUCUGUUUGGCAUG
Molecule: long non-coding RNA, 411 nt
Filed under: Carica papaya (papaya)
Lineage: Eukaryota; Viridiplantae; Streptophyta; Magnoliopsida; Brassicales; Caricaceae
Description: long non-coding RNA (CPAP_LNC000372)
Source: RNAcentral